AUUGAACGCUGGCGGAAUGCUUUACACAUGCAAGUCGAACGGCAGCACGGGGGCAGCCCUGGUGGCGAGUGGCGAACGGGUGAGUAAUACAUCGGAACGUGCCCGGUCGUGGGGGAUAACGUAGCGAAAGUUACGCUAAUACCGCAUACGAUCUGAGGAUGAAAGCGGGGGACCUUCGGGCCUCGCGCGAUCGGAGCGGCCGAUGUCAGAUUAGGUAGUUGGUGGGGUAAAGGCCUACCAAGCCGACGAUCUGUAGCUGGUCUGAGAGGACGACCAGCCACACUGGGACUGAGACACGGCCCAGACUCCUACGGGAGGCAGCAGUGGGGAAUGUUGGACAAUGGGCGCAAGCCUGAUCCAGCCAUUCCGCGUGAAGGACGAAGGCCUUCGGGUUGUAAACUGCUUUUGUACGGAACGAAAAGGCUCUGGCUAAUACCUGGGGCUCAUGACGGUACCGUAAGAAUAAGCACCGGCUAACUACGUG
Molecule: ribosomal RNA, 484 nt
Filed under: uncultured bacterium
Lineage: Bacteria
Description: partial 16S ribosomal RNA
Rfam family: Bacterial small subunit ribosomal RNA
Source: RNAcentral